GUUGAUCCAGCAGAGGUUGUCCUGGUUCGAGGCUUCGUUCGCUGCCUGGAUUUACCUUUUGAGGUGGGUUACAUCGGCUUUACUCCUAAGUGUUUAUUAGUCGACAUGUAUAAAUCGUGAUUUCUACAAUAGUUGUUAGCUCAAAUUCAUGGAUUAUUGUUAGAAUGUAAAAUCUGAAUUUUCGAGCAUAUUUUAUCAAGUAAAUAGAUUAUACAUGUUGGACUUGGAAAUUGAAUUAGGAGAAAACCUGCGAUUUGGACCUGUCACCAGUUUUAACUACCUGAUUUAGCUCUAGGAGCCGUUAGAAAAAGGUGUACCGUCGCAGUUUCUUCGAGACGAGUACUCCAGGUAGUUUAAAAUGUAUUUACACUCGUGCUGGUUCGCCGAGUGGAUUUUUUUACAGGUCGUUCUCAGUCGUUUCGGACUGUUGGGUGCGUCCAAGAGUUGACGGUGGACCUGUAUCGCCUUUUGGCGUCAGAUUGUGCGAGGGCACGUUACGUUGGUUGUUAGACCAGUUUGAGUCCGAUUACUUGAACCUUUGGCUUUUCAGAGCCUUGAUUGAGCUCGACAGAGAUAACGCUGCAUACUCGGUUGGGUAGCGCGCCCAACGAGUGCACUCCCGGAGUCAGGCUUGUGCUUUCGCGUUGGUGUCGCUCAUGCCAUUGGACUUGCUCUCCACGGACCAGUUAGAGUGGAUAGAGCCCGAUAGUGCAACGGGGCAGGGACGGGUGAUUCACAGUCCCCCGGGGACGGGUAGCUUACAGUCCCGAUUGGAUGGGUCAGAUUUGACAUUUCCUACAGUUGGUUAAGUGUAGAGCAUGAUAGUGUAGUGAUCGAUAGCGGUAGCGUUUACUUCCUGCUUUUCUGACUACUCUUGCUCCCUUCUGUAGACUUAAGUGGUGGACGGCGAAUUGUGGUUUUUGGGCGUACCAGCACUGAAGACUACUUAUUUUACAGUAAGGUUCCACGCCCAGUUUUUUUUGUUACCUGUGUUUUGCAAGCCACAGGUUCCGGCGUACUCUGCGCCUUUCCGCGAUCAGGAUUUGAGGCAAGGAGCUCGCGAUAGAGCCCUACACCGUUCCUGCUCGAGCAGACGGCCCCUACUCUGCAGUAAAUGUGUUUGUUUCGACGUUCUGUACUGUAGACCUUAACUCGCCAAGUGCGAGUAGCUUGUAUUUUGAUUUGGACCAUGUAAUAAACUCAGUUUGUUUAGCUUCUGUUUUCUCUAGCAUUCGUCUCUACUACUGUCGUAGUUAGUGUUUGAUUUACCAGGUACAGCUGUCCCGCUUCGUAUACAGAGAAAAAUUCUUUGUUAUACGUUGCGGAUUUGUCGGCGUUCCCGGGAACAAGACAUCCGGGUCGUGACAGAUUUAAGUUUGGUAUCAAGCUUUUGCUAUAGGUCGUUUGGACGCUAGGAAACCUAAGUUUGGCAACCCUAGGAAAGUAAGACGCGAGAUGGCGUAAUUUAUUGGCAAAAGUCAAUGAUAUAUUUGUGUCCUAACUCCUCCUUAGAGUGGAUGAGUGACUGAAGGAGUUCCUGUUUUGGCCUGAGAAAUUAUGUUGGCUGCAGAUGACAUAAUUUUGGAGGAAAACAGGGACCGCCUUCCAGACUUUCGUUGAUUGGGUCGAGAGUGUUGCGCUGUAUCUGACCCCGAUUUGUUCCUUUCAGCUAUGUAUCGUCGCCGAGGUCGACCGUCGUUGCGAGAACGUGCCCAAUUGGCGCGGGAUCGUGCGGGAUCCCCUGAGAGACCUAGGUAAAUGGAGCAGAGUACUCGGCAGGAGCAGGGUGACAGACUAGAGGCGAGUGCACCCCCAGUUGUAGAUCAGAGGGCCCGACCGGAGGCUAGCGCAUCCCCUGAUCUGAGUGCACAGUUGGCCGCCCUGACUGAGGUGACGAGGCAGCAGGGGGAGUUAUUGCAGAGGUUGUGUGAGAGGAUAGCUCAGCCACCGAGUUCAGCACCGAAAGUACCAGAGUCGCCAGUGUCACCCCCGACUACUCCAGUGACCGCACCAGCUGCAGCAGUUCCUCCGUCGGCAGCAGUUCCAGUAGCGCCAGUUGCGCCUGCUAGGGGGCCAGUACCGUUGACUGAGGCCGAGCAGGAGCGGUGGACGGAGAGGUUAGCUCGUUUUCGGCGAUUUGACCCACCGAUCUUCGCUUGCAGCGGCACUGAGGCCUGGAUUGUUGAGGGAUGGGUCAGUGCAAUGGAAAAGCUAUUCGAGGAUCUGUUCGUUCCAGAGUGGAAGCAGGUACCUUUGGGAGUACACUGUCUGUUAGGUGAUGCACAUGAUUGGUGGCGGAGAGCGAGGCGAGGCGAGACCAGGGACUGGUGGCGACACAGUUGAGGUGGGAUGAAUUCUGUGGAAUGCUUUAUGGGAUGUAUUUCCCCAACAGCAUGAAACAGAAGAUCGAGGAGGAUUUGAAGAGGACUCUACAGCAGCCGACCGAGUGGUGGCAGGUAUCACUUUGAUCUUCGGCAUUCGUACUCGUACUCUUUUUGAUACUGGAGCCUCGCAUUCUUUUGUUAGCCGAGCAUUUGCAUUGUUGCAUGGUCUAGAGUUAGGGUCCUUGUCACAGGCACGAGAGGUGCAGAUCCCCGACUAUGUUUUACAGGUUGCAGAGUGUUGUUGGUCGUGUCCGGUGUAGUUAGAUUCGUGGUUUACGCCCGCAGACCUGUUGAUGUUAGGGCAGCUGCAGGACUUCAACAUCGUGCUCGGUAUGGAUUGGUUUACGCGGUACUAUGCUACGAUCGAUUGUGGAGCGAGGACGAUGACGUUCCGCGAGCCAGGCCAGAAGGAGUUCACUUUCAGAGGUUGCAGGAAUACGUUGUUUGCCACCUGGAUAUCUUCGGCGAGAGCUCGACAGAUGCUGAGUAGCUGGUGUGUUGCUUUCUUAGCGACAGUUGUGGAGGUACCUACAGCGGCGCCGGGACUCGAGGAUAUUCCGGUCGUCAACGAGUUUCCGGAUGUGUUUCCCCUGAGUUGACGACGUUGCCGCCGGAGAGGGAGUUUGAGUUUGUGAUUGAUGUAGUUCCUGGAACUGCACCAAUCUCAAAGGUACCUUAUCGGAUAGCGCCGGCAGAGCUGAGAGAGCUAAAGGCACAACUUCAGGAUUUGAUGGAUAAAGGGUUUGUGAGACCCAGUGUGUCGCCUUGGGGAGCGCCAGUGUUAUUUGUAAAGAAGAAGGAUGGUUCACUCAGGUUAUGUGUGGAUUACCGGGAGCUGAAUAAAGUGACCAUCAAGAAUAAGUAUCCCUUGCCGCGCAUUGAUGAUUUGUUUGAUCAGCUGCAGGGAUCUUAUGUCUUCUCGAAGAUUAAUUUCCAGUCAGGUUACCACCAGUUGAGAGUGAGGGCCGAGGAUGUUCCCAAGAGGGUUUUUCGGACUCGGUACGGGCAUUAUGAGUUCACAGUGAUGCCUUUUGGAUUGACGAAUGCCCUUGCCGCAUUCAUGGAUUUGAUGAACAGAGUGUUCAAGCCAUUCUUGGAUAGAUUUGUAGUAGUCUUCAUCGACGACAUCCUGAUAUACUCCCAGAGUGAUGCUGAGCAUGAGGAGCACUUGAGGAUUGUACUUCAGCUUCUGCGAGAGAAGAAGCUGUAUGCCAAAUUGAAGAAGUGAGAGUUCUGGCUACGGGAGGUUGCUUUCUUGGGCCACGUGAUUUCAGCCGAGGGCGUAGCAGUGGACCCGAAGAAGAUUGAGGCUAUUCGAGAUUGGCCUAGACCGAUGACGGUGACUGAGGUACGGAGUUUCCUGGGACUAGCAGGAUAUUACCGUCGGUUUGUGGAAGGCUUUGCGAAGCUUUCCACACCCCUCACACGCUUGACACGGAAGGGGAUUCGUUUUGUCUGGAGCGACGACUGUUAGAGGAGCUUUGACGAGUUGAGACUGAGGUUGACGUCGGCUCCUAUCCUUGUCCUUCCUAUUAUGGGCGAAGGAUUUGUGAUCUACAGUGAUGCAUCGCACAGUGGACUUGGUUGCGUGCUGAUGCAGCAUGGUAGGGUGAUUGCUUAUGCUUCACGGCAAUUAAAGGAUUAUGAAAAGAAUUACCCUACGCAUGACUUGGAGCUUGCCGCGGUGGUUUUUGCUUUGAAGCUCUGGCGGCAUUAUUUAUACGGCGAGCACUGCGAGGUUUUCACCGAUCAUAAAAGUCUCAAGUAUCUGUUCACACAGAAGGAGUUGAACCUGAGGCAGCGCCGGUGGUUGGAGUUACUGAAGGACUAUGACAUUAGUAUUCAGUAUCAUCCCGGCAGGGCGAAUGUGGUGGCAGAUGCGUUGAGCAGGAAGUCAGUGCAGAGCCUGAGUUUGAGGAUUACUGAGCAGAGACCCCUACUCGAGGAGCUACAGCCGUUAGGACUCGAGAUAGUACCCCCUGGGUCUACGGCGAGGCUGACAUCUCUAGUGUUGCAGCCCACUCUGUUGGAUAAGAUCCGAGAGAAACAAAGUGGAGAUCCGUAUUUGUUGAGGAUUAGAGAGCAGCUAGACAGGGGGCAGGCUGAGGGAUUUACUUUGGACAGCUCGGGAGGACUACGGUACAGGGACCGACUGUGUGUGCCUGUGGAUCCUGAGAUUCGAGCGGAUAUUUUGAGAGAGGCUCAUUGUUCCCCUUAAACGGUUCACCCUAGGGGAACCAAGAUGUAUAAGGAUCUUAAGGCACGGUUCUGGUGGCCUGGAAUGAAGAGGGACAUUGGCAGAUUUGUGGCUCAGUGUUUGACUUGCCAACAGGUGAAGGCCGAGCAUCAGGUGCCUGCUGGCAAGCUUCAAAGUCUGCCAGUUCCCGAGUAGAAGUGGGAGUACAUCACGAUGGACUUCGUCGUUGGAUUGCCUAGAGCGCAGGGUGGCUACGACGCGAUUUGGGUGAUAGUCGACAGACUGACCAAGUCUGCUCACUUCCUACCGGUUCAGACUACCUGGUCCAGAGAGAGACUCGCGCAGCUAUACUUAGAUGAGAUCGUUAGGCUGCACGGCGUGCCAGUGUCGAUUAUAUCAGACAGAGACCCGAGGUUUGUAUCACAUUUCUGGAGGAGUUUGCAGACAGCCUUGGGUACACAGCUGCAUUUUAGCACGGCGUUCCACCCACAGACAGAUGGUCAGUCAGAGCGGACCAUACAGACUCUAGAGGACAUGCUGAGGGCAUGCGUCCUGGAUUUUGGAGGAGGGUGGUAUCGACAUGUGAGACUGGUUGAGUUUGCGUACAACAACAGCUAUCAAACAAGCAUUCAGAUGGCUCCGUUUGAGGCGUUGUAUGGACGCAGAUGUCGAUCCCCCCUGUUUUGGAGUGAUGUGGGUGAGCGGAGGACACUUGGACCGGAGAUUUUACUUGAGGCUGAGGAAAAGGUGAGAGUCGUCCGACGACACCUUCUGACAGCACAGAGUCGACAGAGGAGCUACGCCGAUACCAGGAGACGAGACUUAGAGUUCAGGUUGGAGAUCAUGUUUUUCUCAAAGUCUCGCCGUCCAGAGGGAUACGCCGUUUUGGAGUACGUGGAAAGCUUAGUCCACGGUUUGUUGGCCCUUUCGAGGUAUUAGAGCGUAUCGGACCGGUGGCUUACAGGAUAGCUCUACCCCCGCGAAUUGCUGGCAUCCACGAUGUUUUCCACGUCUCAGCACUGAGGAGAUACAUUUUCGACCCCUCUCACGUGAUUGACUUCACUCCACUCGAGAUUAGCGAGGAUCUGAGAUACGAGGAGUAACUGGUGCGAAUUCUUGUGCGCGAGACGAAAGAAUUGCGCAACCGGGUCAUCCCGUAUAUAAAAGUGCAGUGGAGCAAUCACGAGGAACGGGAGGCGACUUGGGAGCCAGAGAUGGUGAUGAGGGAGUCUUACCCCGACCUGUUCGUUGCCCCAUCUUGAGGUAUAUUUUAAGUUUCGAGGACGAAACUUUUUGUAGUGGGGGAGGAUGUAAUACCCUUCAUUUUGAGUUGGUCUAGGGGCAUAGUGGUCUUUUUUUUGGAUAAGGAUGCCAUCACCUUUUUAAUGUUUAUCCCUUCAAAUUAACAGAGAGUGUGUAUUUCUUUUUGUUCUCUCUAGUUAAUUACGUGCAUGGUGGAUAGCACGGGUAGAGGUAGCCGAGGAGCUCGGAUUCGACGCCGACGACGCGCCGCGAAGCCGUUCGAGGGUACGGUUGGGAUUGUAGCGCUGUGAGGAAGCUAGGCGAGGGUGUGUUUUCGUCGUUCUCGACGCCGCGUCGAUGUCCGAUUAGCCUUUGAGGUGAGUGUUCCAUUGCAUUGCUUCACAUUUCGAGCUUGGUGCUGAUUUGCAGAAUUUCCAGCGUCGACCGUCGGUAUUUCAGUUCGUACUCGGCGUAGGAGCGUCGGAUCGCGACGAGGCUUGGUUCGUUGGAUUCGGGACUUCGAGAGGAAUCCACGAAGACCUCAUUUGCCAGAUUUGGUGAAGGUUAGCUCGGUCGAAUCCCGUUUCUACUCAGCUGCUGUGAAUUUCUAGACUGAAUUGAGGAUCCUUAAUUGUUUAGCUUGGCGUUAGCUCGUCCACCGGACUUGGAGGUCCCCAGUUGAUCCAGCAGAGGUUGUCCUGGUUCGAGGCUUCGUUCGCUGCCUGGAUUUACCUUUUGAGGUGGGUUACAUCGGCUUUACUCCUAAGUGUUUAUUAGUCGACAUGUAUAAAUCGUGAUUUCUACAAUAGUUGUUAGCUCAAAUUCAUGGAUUAUUGUUAGAAUGUAAGAUCUGAAUUUUCGAGCAUAUUUUAUCAAGUAAAUAGAUUAUACAUGUUGGACUUGAAAAUUGAAUUAGGAGAAAACCUGCGAUUUGNNNNNNNNNNNNNNNNNNNNNNNNNNNNNNNNNNNNNNNNNNNNNNNNNNNNNNNNNNNNNNNNNNNNNNNNNNNNNNNNNNNNNNNNNNNNNNNNNNNNNNNNNNNNNNNNNNNNNNNNNNNNNNNNNNNNNNNNNNNNNNNNNNNNNNNNNNNNNNNNNNNNNNNNNNNNNNNNNNNNNNNNNNNNNNNNNNNNNNNNNNNNNNNNNNNNNNNNNNNNNNNNNNNNNNNNNNNNNNNNNNNNNNNNNNNNNNNNNNNNNNNNNNNNNNNNNNNNNNNNNNNNNNNNNNNNNNNNNNNNNNNNNNNNNNNNNNNNNNNNNNNNNNNNNNNNNNNNNNNNNNNNNNNNNNNNNNNNNNNNNNNNNNNNNNNNNNNNNNNNNNNNNNNNNNNNNNNNNNNNNNNNNNNNNNNNNNNNNNNNNNNNNNNNNNNNNNNNNNNNNNNNNNNNNNNNNNNNNNNNNNNNNNNNNNNNNNNNNNNNNNNNNNNNNNNNNNNNNNNNNNNNNNNNNNNNNNNNNNNNNNUUUUAUGUCUCGAUGAGCGUGACCGCUCAAUUCAGAUGAUACAUGUCUUUGAGCUUUGUUUUGUAGAUGGACGUCAUCCCCGUGGAGAUCGAGUCGUCCUGCCCAUCCCGAGAUUGAGCGCUGCGGGAACGGAGUUAGGACUAGGCGCCUUCCGCGUCGUCGGCCUUGGACACCGAGACGUUUUGUCUCCAUUGUUGACCCGCACUCUUGAUGACAUUUUUAUUCAUCAGGAGUCACCCAUGGCGGGUUUUGGUGUAGCCAGGUGGGUGAUUCAGAUGUCUUCCCUCGUUCUCAUCAGUCUUUUCGUCCUUCAUUUGCGAUGGCGAUAGCUAGUGAUGUGAUAGUACGAGAUGUGAUUGGUUGACAUCCUUUACAGUUUAGACUGGGUUAGGUUAGCCCUGACAUUCGUAUGGGCAGGGGCCGGAUUUGGACUAUGUAUAUGAAACUCAGUUUGUUUAGCUUCUGUUUUCUCUAGCAUCUCUCUACUACUGUUCGUAGUAGUGUUUGAUUUACAGGUACAGCUGUCGCUUCGUAUACAGAAAAAAUUUCUUUGUAUACGGCGGAUUUGUCGGCGUGCCCGGGGAAUAAGACAUCCGGGGCGUGACAAUUCUAAUCAUUUUCAUCAUACGAGGCAAAUACCCUUCUCGCAAAAGAACCAUUUCACACAUGCAUGCAGCCUAUUCAUAUAGCUCUACUAAAUAGAGUGAAAAUUUCAUGAUACAUAAGAUAUGCAUUUUAAGUAUUCUAAAAUUCAUAUAAUUCAUAAUUAACAUGGAUUUGAAGUCAUUUAAACAUUGCGACGAGUAUAUGAUGCAUAGGGGCCAUUUUGCCCGGUUCAAGAAGCCAAACCCACCAAAAAUCGAACUCUUCGUUUCGUCGAACGGAGGGUGCCCACUAGUCUCCUAGCACCCUAAGGAUAUAGGAACAAGAGUUAUACAAUCGAAACGAACAACGAAAAGCUCAAACUUUAACCAACAAGGCAUAGAGGGCUAAACUCUUACCUAGUGUAGAGAUCCCUCUCCAAAGCUCAAAUGGAAGCUAAAUCCCUUCCAAAACAAUCUAAACCAAGAUUCCAAAUCAAUCAAUAGAGCUCUAAAAGUCCUUAAUCAAAAAUCCAAAAAUAAACCCUAAAUCUCAUUUCUAGGGUUUCAUGAAGCCAAAAGCUCCAAAACUAGGAUCUAGAGAAAGAAAACUAGUCACUUAUCUCUAGGAAGCUCCAAACCAAGCUCAAAAUCCUCUAGGAUUGAAGAUCGAUCCUCCACAAAGCUCCAAAAGCAAGCUCCAAGCCUCCAAUAGUGAGAGGAGAGGUUGAGGAAGAAGUCCUAAGUCCAUUAGCAAGCUCUCCUUCUUUUCCUUCUCCUUCUUCUCCUCUUGCUUCUCCUUCUUCUUCUCUUUCUCUAGAGUGUGUGAGAGGGUGAGAAGUGAGGGAAAGGGAGAGAGGAAAUGGCCUAAAAGCCCUCUUAAGAAACAAUAUCCACCUAGGUCCCCCAACAAACAAACCUGUGCACUGCCCGGAUCUGGGCAAUUUUCGCCCAGAGGGACCGGUCUCUCCCAGCUGGGACCGGUCUCUCAUGACCCUCCCGCAAAACACGCUCUUGGGAAUCGGUCUCUCCUUGCCAGGAACCGGUUGCCUCAAGUCUGGCCGCGACACUGUUUCGAGGGGACCGGUCUCUCCCACCAGGGACUGGUCCCCGAGAAUGAAAACUCUCAGGACUUUGUGAAAAUCCAGGAAUUCGAUCUUUUAGGUCGGAAUACCAUCUACGACCUUCCACCAAAUGUGGAAAAGCUCGGAAUCCAAGUCAAACACUCCAACCUCACAAUUUGCAUAGAUCCAGUGUGUUACACAUCGCGGAGUUGAAACGUGGUCCCACAACGUCGUUUGGCGAAAAUUCACCGAUCGGAUACGUUAAUGUUGCAAUUUUUGCAUGUUGGCCAUUUGAAUGCCUUAGAGACCCUGCCAAGCCUUGUUGGUAGGUUGCUACUACCACCUUUGAAGAUUGGAGAUGGUGGAUAAGUGGCGGAGAGGUUUCAGUGCGUUUUCUGGCGAAAUCGCCGAUAGAACGCAAUUUCUUGUUGCAAUGGGUUUUCGAUUGUGUGCUUGCCCUGAAAAUCAUCCCCUAUUCUCGUUGGCUGGCCCAUAUGGUCCCCUCGUUUGUUCGCAGGCGGCAGACGAGUGGUGGAGGCUUUUCGGUGCCAAAAUAGACACUUCCGUAAGCCCGGUAGUAAACGGUCGAUUGGUGACGACCGAGUUGACUUGGACACUUGUGUUUGCUAACCGAACACCCAAAUAGGUGUGUUUUGGUAUAGCGGGCGACUCCCGGUAUGAGUCGGUGCAUUUAUUGAUAUUUCGUGGGUUCUGGGGGCAUCUGGUGCGUUUUUGGGACUCAACUCGAGUUUGGGGACUGGUUUUGAAAAAUCAAUUCGGGCGGUUUUGGAUUUGUAAGAGAUGUGUUUUGAGUCUAGUGAAUUAUAUCCGAACUCGGUGGACCUAUCAUAGGUCCUGUCGGCGUCCCUCACCUCACAGGAGCUAGACCCGGUGACAGAGUAGGUGGGUACUUCGAUUCGAAGUCGGUUUAAUGGUGUACGUUCGGUGAUAUUCCCUUCAUUCCUAACUUUUACUGCUUACAUAUAUAAAUAUUCAGAAUUUGAGCUCUUCACCACAUGACUUCGACCCUUACUCUACUUAGUAUACUCUUCCGUUUGCCAGGAUAUAGAAGUAAAGCGAUAAUGACACUUGCAUUUAUAUUCCAGUUGACAUGAGUGGUCUGUGCCCGUGUGCUUAUAGUGUCAUUGAACUCACGCUUUUCAGUUGACCUGAGUGGUCAGUACUUGUAUAUUUGAGAGGGUGUUGAGUUCGUCUAUCCUAGUUGACCUGAGUUGUCGGUACUUGUGCUCUCGUAUAGCUUCAAUGACCUAUUGGUCGGCGUGCCCAGUGUGGCGGUGAUUAUCAGUUAUUCGCCGACGGUUGGCUAUUAAUCAUAUUCACAUUGAUUGCCACAGCUUGAGAGUAUUUCACUAACAUCAGCGGGCUGUCUCCCCGCAAAAGGGUGUUCAUUUUCGAAAAAGUAGUUGGUUGCCAACCUUUGAGCCUAGCGGUCAUUGCUAGGGUUAUAUGCCAGACAGAGCGGUUGUGGCUUGCUUGAUAUCCUUAGACUGACAAGGCGGUAUACAUUGCGUAUAUUUGGACUUUUCGUUCGGUUGACACAUAUAGUUAUAGUAACGGUUGUUACAUGCUUUCUUACAUUUCAUCUCUCUUCACACUUACAUUACUACUGUAAAUCUUUAUUUAUCUAUACUUGGUUACCAGCGAGUGCUUGUCUCGACAGCUUACGGUACCCACUGGGAGACCCUUUGUUCGUUUCUCACCCCUAUUUUCCCACAGAUGACAUGGGUGGGAUUAGUCAGGAUACAACGUGAGGCCGUAGCUAGUGGUCGGUUUUAGAGGUCUCGAUCUCGGUAUACAUUUUGACUAUACUCCAUACUUAGUAUAGACAUACAUGUAAUAGCAUAGUUUACCCCCAUACCUGAUAGUAGACAUUUAUUUGGUUCAGUUGAUAUUCUAUACUUUCAGAUUUUGGAUAUUGUACUUAUGAAGGUUUUGGAUGCACACGGUUUGGACAUUAGUGGUUUUUGAACACAUGUGGUUUUGGAUUCAGACUCCUAUCGAUGAUUUUCUACUUCUCGUGGUAGCGUUUUCAAAAUAAUGAUUUUCAUGUGGAAAACGUUUUUAAAUAAUUUUCUCGAAAUUUUUCACAAAGUUAGAGUUUUAAAAAGGAAGUCCUCGUGUAGGAGACAAUUUCAACUUCUAAGAUGAUUGUCAAUGAAUAUGAAAUGAAUGUGACUAAGGAUGGCUAGCUGUUUAAUGUAUUAUGAGGAUCCUUGUAUAUAUUAUUGUUGUGUGUAUGAGGUCUGGUUGUUAAAUUAUACAUGUGCUACACCGUGCAAAUAUAGGUGAGGUUCCGUCCGUUUGUUUCAAAAAUUCUCUAUUUUUGUGGCGGGUUCGUUGCAUUGGGGUCAAGAUUGUUUUUUUUUUUUUUUUUUUAAGUGACAAUUUUUUGUUUACUCUGAUUUUUAAAGAUAGCUCAAUUUUGAACUGGCUUUAACCAAAAGACCCUGGGGCGUGACAAGUUAUUUCAAAAUAAUUAAAAAAUUGAAUGAUGAAAAUGGAAUAAUACCCUUUGACCAAGUUAGAAUCCGUCAAUUUAUAAUCAAGGUUGUUAAUCUUGUUCUAGCUACUACAAUUUUUUAAUAAAAAAUUCAGCUAAUUAGAAUUCUUCUAUUCUAAUUGGAAUUCUUAUAUACUAUUAAAUUACUUCCACCUACAUUUAAAAAUUGGCCAUAUAUAUGGACAUAAGUUAUUCACCAACUAGACUAUGUCAAGAAAAUAUAAAAUUUUACUUAUAAAUAUUUACUCUAUGUUAUAUAUAUGUAUCAACUUUGAUCUUUGAUGAUUUUGACACCCUUCUACCAAAAACCAUACAGUAGAACCAUAUAUAUACCAUUGAUAUUAUAGUAUUAAUUACUACCCUAUGUCAUUUAAUUGAUGUUUUUGUAUUACUAAAUAAGCAUAUAUUAUGAAACACAAUUACUCAUUGUUUCUUCAUGCCUGUCCAAAAGCUAGGGGAGAGCAAAGGUAUGACAUUGUUUGUUGGUUCAUAUUUAGCCUGUGAAAUGGUAAAAUAAUUAUCAAACAUGAUUCUUAGAUGCAUUUAAAUAUCGUAUAUGACUUACGAUCUUUUUCCUAAACUUUGCAACAUUAGAGAUAGUGUUAGAAUUAGUAUUUGAGAUAUUGGAGGAUUAACCAAUUAUUAUAAAUUCUAUAUUUUACUAAGCAUCAUUAUGCAAUAAUUAUUCGUUCUUUACAAUAUCAUAGUAAGUUGAGGUAAAAUUUUUUAACAACUAAAAAAUAUAUUAAUUAAAAUAUAAUGCAAGAUAAAAUUAGUUACUAAUUGUUUAGAAUAUAUAAGCUAGGUCACUGAUCAAUGCGACCAAAUCUACUACAGACACCAGAGCCGCAACCCCUAGCUGUUCAGUGUCCAUAUAGAGGACUUGUCAAAAGAGCACAUAGCAUUCCUUUAUAAUAUUAUGAUCUUUUUAGCAAUUAGUAAAAAAUAAAAUAAAGUUUAAUUUUACAUUGCAUUUAAUAUUGUGAGGACUGAGAUUCUUUUCAUAUAAAUUUGAUAUUUUUUCAAAUGUUAUCAUAUAUAUUUUAAUUUUAAUAUUGCCCAUCAAAUUUUAGUAAAAAAUAAUUUAAAAUAGAGAUUUUACGCGAUUAUUAUUUUUUACUUAAGUGAAUAGUAAUGUAAGGACUGAGAUUUUUUGAUAGUGCAUCUAAACUCUCUGUUGACGAUGUUUAUGUGUGUAAUUUAAUUACAUAAGCACUCGUCAAGCAUUGAAGAGGCAAAUUCGAGUAAAAGAGGACUUUGAANAUAAAAGAUAAAAGUUUUCGCGUACGAAACAGUUUCCAAAAGAUUUUUCGUGGACUUCUGUUUAAACAUCGAAUGUAAAACUACGGUGUGAAUGGUGAAUGUAUGAAUGUAUAGCUAUCUGUAUAUUCAUUUGAUUGUGGUUGUAUACUGUCUGUACUUUUGUACUUGUGUGACGCCGUGCAAGUACAGGGGAGACUCUGUCCGUGUGAACAGUGGAUUCCCUGUAUUUGUGGCGGAUCUGGCAUACUCUGGGGUCAGGUUUUCAAAAAAAAAUUUAUAGCUAAUUUUUCCGCUGUGCUUUUGAACCAAAAAGGGACCCCGGGGCGUGACAAGUAACUGGUGUUUUCGAGAAAGGUCAUUGAGUGUAAAUGGCUUUUGUCGCGUACCGGAUUUUAUUUCAGGUGAUCCAAUAGUUCAUUUUUGACGGUCUGACUAUGCCGGACCCAACGACGCUGACGGAUUUUGGGUUUGACGGGAUUAUUUUUUUCAUUUAAGUGAAUAGGAUAAUACUAUAAGGGCAUGUUUAGCGAUAGUAUAAAAAUGAAAUAGAGUUUUAUUUUACGCUGUAUUUAAUAUUUUUUAAAACUCUAUACUCUAUAAAAAAAUUACUUUGUGUUUUAUUGUUUGGAUUGCUUUUUAAAAAAUACUCUGUUUUAAUUCUUAUAUAAAAUAAAUUUAAAGAAAUUGUACUAAUCAAAACAAACUUUUUUCAUUUUUGGAUCAAAGUACUAAGAAAGGAUAAUUCAUGAGUAGAUUGUAUUAAAUUGAGAAAGUUUUUUUAAACAUAACUAAAAAUUUCUCCUCUUCCUCCAGCCCUAUCUCCACAGCUACUGCCACCACCGCUCGCAUUCCUCUCCUCCUACUACUAUUUCUCCUGCAGCUAUGGCUGUUACUAUUUCUCCUGCAGCUAUGGCUGUUAGCAGGAGUGCUGUUGUCAUCUUCGUUGGCAACGGCGACAUCGGCAUCAUCGUAGUCGGUAGCAUUGGCAUCAACGUCGGCGGCUUCAACGGCGGUGGCCACAUCGACAUCAACAUCGGCUUCAUUGCUGUCAUCAUCGUCAAAGGAAGUAGGGUCAGCAGUGACGACAUCAGCAUCAUCAUUGUCGGCAGCAUCGACGUUCGUGCCGUUGGCGACAGCGACGGCGGCAUCAUCCACACCAACAGCGUCGAUGUCGACGUUGGUAUCGGUGUCAUCAUCUUCGUCUAAUGGAGUAGAGAGAGAGGGAGGAGGGAAGGGGAUGGAAAAGGAGGAUGAUGGGGAUGGAAAAGGAGGAUGAAAGAUAAUGGAAGAGGGAGGGGUGGGAAGUGAGGCCAACAAUAGAGUAUUUUUUUAAAAAAAGACCAAUUUUUUUUACCCAAAAUUAUUUUAUAAAAUCUAUAUUAUAGAAAAUAAAGUAAUUUGGUCUAUUACUCUGUACUAGGUCUGAGGUUUACGAAACAGGCCCAAAUUUUCUCUAAUUCUGAAAUCAAAUGACAAGUUAGGAAUACUUGUUGUAUAAUUUGUUAGAUUUUAUUAGAUUUUAUUGUGAUUUAAAGCUGGAUAGGUUUUUUGGGCAACGCAACAUUUAAUGGACCUUACUUGGGAACCCAACUAAAGAUUUGUUGUGUGAGGUUUAGUCCCACAUUGAAAACUAAAAGAAUGUUAUUGUUGUUUAUAUAUUCCUUUAUUCUCAAUAUAGUUAUUUAAAAGAAAAUGAGAGUUAUGCUCUCCUUUAAAUACACGCACGUCACAAGUUGGGCCAGGCGGGCGGCAACAUGUGGAGUCCCUAUACCCGGUUUAUUUUAUUUUAUUUUUUAAUUUUAUCUUUAUCCUAAUUUUAAUUCUAAUCCAUAUCCCAUAUAAUCAUAGGCUUAUUUUGUUCUACACGAAUUUGACGCGUUGAAGCAAGAUUCUUGCUUUGAUUAUAAAUAUUGGACGAGAUUGCACGAGUUCAAGGAGAAUCCGGACAUACCUAAAAACAAAACCCUAUCAUCUACCUCUCCUUUCCCUGCUUUCUCGCCAUUAAUCUUUUUCGCCGAUUUUCACCGAGCUUUCUUUGCUUUCUUUGCUGGAGCUGAAGUUUGUUUUGUUCGUCUUGUGCCAUCUUGAAAGUGUGCUGACGGGGUGGAACGUAGUGGUUAUAUCACUGAAAGCUGGAAGUAAUUGCCGGAAAGGCUCGCACGUGGAGGGGCAAUUUCGCUUCUAAGACAGUGCUCUACACGUUUCGAUUCACAGGCAUUUCCUAAUCAUUUUCUUUGCAGUCUUUUUAUUUAAUUCUUUUUCUUUUUUUUUUCGAAAAUUGAAAUUAAACCCUCGAGUUAUUUAAAAAAAAAUAUUUUAAUAAAAGAUCAAAAAAAUUUCCAUCAUAAUUCAAACCUUCUACUACGCUAUUCAAUAGUAGGCCGCAAGGGACAAGUUACACCCACCGUUUCAAUCGAAAAUAUAAAUAAAUAAAUACAAAAAGCGGGUGAAAGUUGAUGAGAAAAUAUUAGCAAAAGCUAUAAAGAAUUAACUGCACUAUGAUACUACCGUAGACAUAAGUAAAAAAAACUCAUCAUAAUGAUAGAAUAUUCGUGCAUCAAUGCCUCUAAGUACUUUAAUUAUUCAAUAGUACUCAACCUAACCACUAGUUGGUCACUGGAACUCUACCUUAACUCGUGGACGAAGAAAUGCCAGAAACUUACUAUCACGGUUAAUUUGUUGCUUGCGCUUGCAAGACCGGAUUAGAACUACUCACUCCGGAGGGGACUUUGGAGGCGCAAUUUAACCACUCAAAAUAUAUAUUUCAAUAUCACUGUGUUGCAAGCUAUAUAUAGUCAUAUACAAGAACAAAAAUUUUAUGAGCAACGUGCUCAAACAAUGGGCGCCGCGUUGCGCCCCUCCACACCCUCAAAAACAAAAAAAAUGAUGGGCUCCAUUUUUAGGAAGCGAGAGAAAGAGAGGGGGAAGGGAGGGUGCCCAUAAAAUUUUUGUCCCAUAUACAAUGCUCAAGGGUCAGUACGUAGUAGAUCCAAUAAAUCUAACCAACCUCAUCAUAUAAAGAUGUGUGUCAGUCACACUUUAAGGCGAUGUCAAGUCACGAAUGCCCCUACAAGGUAAUUUCUGCUACCAAUACAUAUAUCCACAUAAAAAGAUCCCAACUAGCAUACAUAUAUAUAUUAAUAUUAAUAUUAAUAUCAAUCAUAAGUGUGACGAGUUUAAUCUUGAGUUCGUAAUAAUGGUUGUCCAUAUAAAACCGAGUUUAAAUUUUGUAUGUAACGGCUCUUGUUCCCAAACCAAACGCUACCUAAGUGACUAGAGGCGUAUAUUUUACAUCAAACUCAUUCUAAAGUGGAGUGUGCUUGCCACUAGUCACAUCAAGUGACUAAUAGACUUACUCUCACCCUAGGGUUGUAUAGAUAGCAGCACUCAUAAUUUUUAGGACAAACUUCAAUUGCCACCCUACUAGCACUUUUUUUCUUUGCUCCAUUAUAGUUCAAAAAGUUACAGUUGGCCCAUUAUGAAUUAUUUCAUUUUUAUUCUGUCAACCUGUGGUUCAAAAGUUGCAUUUAAUUAUUUUGUGCUUUAGCACAUUUUUUAACUAUGCUACUAUGUGGUAUUCAACAUUCUUUAAUUUGUCAUCCUAUUUAAUGUAGAAUUUGUGGUGAAAUAAAAUUCAACAACAGAGCGGCAAAGUGCAAUUUUUUAAACCAUGGGUGGAAAAAUAAAAAUGCACUAUAUCGGACAGUCAAUUUGAAGGUUAUAAUAGGAGGCCAUUUGGUUUAAGAUUUGUAAUAUCUACGAUAUACUGUAUGCUUUAUACUUAGAAUGAUAAGUUUGUUACUAAUUUUUCAAGUCACUUAGGUUCAAAGGUUGUUAAGAACUAUUAUAUAUUCUUAUUAAUGGAUCACUAAUGAUUCUUAUCAAGCAUGAAAAUAAAUAUUGUAUUCCUACCACUUAGGAAUCUACAAAAAUUUUCAUUACUUUACUAACACCCUUUUUAGCUAACUAAUUUGAGUUGAAUUAUUCGAAUAUUUUCAAUAAAAUUAUGAAAAAUUACUGGAAUUGUAAUGACUAAACUCUCUAACAAUAAUAACUCGUUGGGUCCACACCACAGGCUCAAAAUAUUUAAGCUCAGUUAUUAUUAUAAUCUUUAGGUGUCACAGACUUUUCUAAUUAAUUUAGACUCUAACGUUCUUGUCAGCCUAAUCACGCACACAGUCUAAGACUCCCUCUAUUUAGGUCCUGACGUACUUGUCGACGUAACCACACAUAGUGUCUAAGAUCAUCAAAUAAUGCGAGGCCCACCUCAUACCAAAUGUAAUUACCCGACUCCCUAGCAAUAAUAACUUGCUAAAACCAAACCAUCAGCCCUAAAUGCUUAAACUCAGCUAUUAUUACUAGAAACUAUUAGGGUGUCAUAGGAAUAUUACAAAUGAUCAAAUUCCCUAAGUUUUAAAUAUAAUCAAUACCUUCCUUCACGCCCUAAUUAUCUAUAUGCUUAUAGAUUUUCUAUCCGUGAAUUAUCUACCCAUAAAAAAAAAAUAUUACUUGUACACUGAAAAAGGUAGUGCAUCUUGCACCCUACUUAUUUUACGGUGGAGUGGCCUCCAUUAGUCACAUUUAUGUGAUUAAUGAAAAAGUCUCCCUCCUAGGAUGGACAAAGUAUACAUCAUACACUCCAAAAGUGUAAUAUGUGAAGUAUUGCCCCCUUAAAAAAAUUAUGUGGAGAUGCUCAACUAUCAGCCAUUAAAUCUAAACAUUUUGUUCGAAUGUUUGGAAUUAAAUAAUUAAUAUUUGACAAUUAAAUUAGAGGUAUUAUCCAAUUAAAUGAUAAUUUUAUCAAAUUUAAUAAUUGUAAUCACUUUAUUGCAAAGAAAAAAAAAGAAAUUAAGAAGUACUUGUUGCUAAAGCAAGUGAUAAAGAAGUUGAUAGCGGGUACCUUAGAUUUUAAGUUCACAUUUUCAGCCAAAUUUAUUCUUAGAAAAAAAUGAAUGAAAAAUAUAGUACUAUAUGGACGGUCCAUAUAUAAUACUAUCCCAAUGUGAUAUAUUUCUCACUUACUAAGUUUUAAUUUUAGGAAAAUGCUAUGUGUACAUUGCAAAAAGGCGGAUGUAUAUCUUAUACUCUCUAUCUUAGAAUUAAAAAAUUCUUUGGAAGCAGUAGUAUUGUAUACAUGGUCCUUACGAUACUAUCUCCAUACGACAAGUUUGUCCUUUAAGUUGUAUAUAUUUUAAAGAAAUUGUUACAUGUACAUUAAAAGAAAAGGAUGUUUAUCUCCAUUUUAGAGUUUAAAAUUUUUUCAAACUUCUAGUAUUUAAGAAGAAAAAAUUAAUUUUGAAUUUUUAAGAUGUAAGAUAUAUAUCCCAAAUGAUCCGCAAGGAUCUAGGUCUAGAGUUUUGUUUGGAUUAAGACAUCAACAUUGUUUGAAGGGCAUAUCUUCCAUACAGACUCCAACUGAGACGAUUUCUGAUUCUACAUGAGCGGAUCGAGAAAAGCUAGUUGGGCUCUCGCAACUGAACCUAGUAACGAUUUCAGUAACGAUUUCUAAUUCUAUGUGUGCAGAUCAAGAAGAGCAAAUAGGUACAUAGUAAUUAAGUCUUGUAUGAGUUUCAGGUUGUUCAUGGGUCGUUUAAGCCUCUAAAAUUGACUAUUUAUUUAUAGAAAAUUAAACCACAAAUACUUUAUUAUCCAUAAAAAAAUUUAGAAUUGUGUAUUAUAGUCAAAUUUGAUAUUUCUAAUAUGUGCUUUUGUUACACCCUAGUUAGUCCUAUAUAUAAGAUAUAACAGAACUAAAAUUUUUAAUCCGGCUUAAGCAUUUUGAAUGGCGGUUAGGCGCAAGAGAUUAAGAGAGUUAAGCGUGUUACGACAGAAGUAGUCUUAGGAUGGGUGAUCUCUUGAGAAGUUGAGACGUUACAGUUGGUAUCAGUGACAAUUACCAGCCAGAAGUGCGAGAUCUCGGCUGAGAUAGAAUUAUACAGUGGGAAGAGCGAGCCUCUCAUACUAUUGAUUGUUAUGGGUGUAGUGCAGCUCACCAUAAGAUUGGUUUAGGCUAGCAAUACGAGUCUCACAUCGCCUGAUACUUGUGAGUCUGAGCCUGACGAGAACGUCAUUAAUUAAUUAUAUAAAGGGGGAGAAUGUGAGACCUCAGAUAGUUCUAUAUAUAUAUAAGAUAUAAUAGAACUAGAAUUCUUAACCCGGCUUAAUCAUUUUGGUCGGUUGCUAGGCUCCAGAAGUUAAGAUGUGGUAUCCCUGGUGUUCAGCAGUUGAGGCUUGUCGACAGCUCUGGAGAGUGUCGGGACAAUCCGAGUCGCGUUGGCGCAAAAUAGACACCAAACGGACUCAGUAGAGACGCGAGACCAUGAGGUAGCAUUGGAAUUCAGUAAAAAUCAGCAAGCGAGCUCGAAGUAGAGAGAUCAGGCCAUAAAUGGAGGAAUGUUAGAUACCCACAUCGACAGCGACUCUAGCACCGGCGCGACGUCGAGAACGGCAAAAAUCCACGCUCGUCCGGCCUCCUCGUAGCACCACGACGACGAAUAUCCGCUCGAACGGCACCGCGGCGUGACGUCGACGACGAACCAACUCCACCCAAGCUCCUCCUUGCUCACUAUUGGGUCUAGAGAGAGAAAGAGGAGAAGAAGCAUGCAAGAAGUCCUCCUCAGCUUCCCAACACGUACAUAAAGCAAAGGGGAGGGAUGGUGAUACGUACGAGGCAAGAAAAGACAAAUCUGCCCCUCACCUACCCCCGUGUACCGGUACACGGGCACCUGUACCAGUACAGAUGGCAACCCGAGAGCAGCUGCUCGCCAAUCGGGCGAAGUGUACCGGUACACCUUCGAUGCUGUACCGGUACAGAAAGUGUACCGAUACAACCCUGUUGUUGUACCGGUACAACAAGCAGAAAAUCUGCAGUUUCGCAGAUUCCACUGCUAACUGUUGCUCUCGCGUUCCCGCUUAGUUCAUUUUGCGUCUAUUUCGCGCCAACGAGACUCGGACUUGUCCCGACAUUCUCACAGCGUGUCGACAAGCCUCAAAAACUGAACACCAGGGAUACCACAAAACCAUGAGUGAAUACAUUUGGAUAACGUUUAUUUUUGAUAGGGUUAAUUGCAUACAGAUCCCUACAAAUAUAUUAAGUUAUAAUAUAUUCCUAGCUACAAAAUCUAACUUUCAUAUAUUGUUUCUAUAAAAGUCCUAAUAUUCUCAAAUAUGACUCUAUCUUUAGAAUUCGUUAGAAAUGUUUAGUUAACUAUAGAUUUAAUACUUAACUUUGAUUAGUUUAUGAGAUAACUUGACAGUUUUACCUCACUUAUAUUAUACUAUUGUGAUUUUUGGACGAAUAUAUUUAUAAUAACAAAAUUAACAUUUCACUUUUUUGUUGUUAAAAUAAACAGUUCUCUAACGGUAAGUAGUAACAAACCAGAAGGACGUAUUUGUAAAAUUAGAACUUUUGUAGGGACAAUAUAUAAAAGUUGAACUUUAAAAUAAUAUAUUUAUAAUUCAGUACGUUUUCAAGAACUUGUAUGCAUUUAACCCAUUUUGAUAUUAGGAUAUUAUAAAAAAAAAAAGAUAGUGAUCAAUAUUGUUAACUAUGAUCUAAAGUAAAAGUAAAUGCGAACAAAGUUUUAUAGUUUGAUGAUCGACCGAAUCAUCUUGAAACUAUCAAUUUUAAAGGUUAGUAUGAAAACUUUCAUUUAGCAAUAUAGAAUAAUUCAAAAUAAUUAAAUUUUUAUGGGAAACUUCUUUGAGCUAUAUUAAUUAAAAAAGAUAGUGAUCAAUAUUGUUAAUUAACUAUGAUCGGAGUCGAACCCAAUUUCCCGUUGCAUCAAAUUUGGCCUAUCUAGCUAGCUAGACUCAUUCCAGCAUAAAAUUUUAGGAAUAAUUUAAACUCACAAUAUGAGUAGAAAUAAUUAUGAUAUAAAAAUAACAGAUAAUAUAAACUCAAUUAAACUCAUAAAUGUGACGCUACCAGUACAAACAUCUAAAUGGAUAUUAAGAUUCAUAAAUGACUAGAUAUAAUUAUGACAUAAAAAUAAUAAUUAAUUUCUUUGUCAUUCAUCAGAUCAGAUUCGACGAUACAAAUUUAUUGUAUUAUAUAAAAAUAUUUAAAAAAAUAAUUUAAUGGAAUUGAUCUAAGCGAGUUGCUACAAAAAAAAAAAAAAAAAAAAAAAAAAAAAAAAAAACCNUAAUGGAAUUGAUCUAAGCGAGUUGCUACAAAAAAAAAAAAGAAAAAAAAAAGAAAAAACUACAAAAUUAACAAAUGAAACACGUUGAAGCGGAUCAUGAAUACACUCAGCCGGUGGCGGGAAGCAGCCGGAAGGUCGGGCGGCGAUGCAUCCAUUUUAAAUGGUCAAUAUAUACUGGAUGCAUACAAUAAUUUUUAUAUCUAAAAAUAUAUGUUUAAAUUAAAUAAAACUUUUUAGCAUAUCAAAAGUAGUGUUGCUGUUAAUGUAUUUUAUUUUAUAAUAUAUAAAUAAUAUAUUAUCAAAAUGCAUAAAGUUAGAAUAAAAUUCAAAGUUAACAAUUAGAAACGAAUUGUUUGCGCCUUCUUGAAUGCUUGUGAUGUGCGUUGCAUGCCCAAUUUAAUUAUAAUAAUCAACGCAAGUAAAAUUUACUAUACAAUGUUAAUUAGCCAAACAUUAGAUUUUCAGUGGUUGGUUAAUCCUCCAAUGUCUCAAAUACUAAACAUGGUAAAACAUAGCUCCCAUCUCUUAGAACUUAAUAAAAAAAGAUGGCUGAGUUAUAUGGUAUUUAAAUGUAUCAAAAAUUAUGUUUGCUAAUUUUCAUUUCAUCUCAUAAGGACAAUAAAUGCAGCACUAAUGAGUGUCAUUUGUUUGGACAUGCAUGUCAUGCUUUUACACAGCCAUGAAGAAACAAUGAGUGAAUACGUUUGGAGAACGUUUAUAUUUUGUUUCACCAAAACCAUCGUUUAAAUAUCAAAGAGUAAUGGCUCUAUUACUAUAGUCUUGAUUUUGAUAUGAGGAUAUUAAAAAAAAAAGAUAAUGAUCAAUAUUGUUAACUAUGAUCUAACAUAAAAUUAAGUACAUGCGAACAAAAUUUUAUACUUCGAUGAUCGACUGAAUCAUCUUGAAACUAUUAAUUUUAAUGGUUAAUUUGAAAAUUUUCAUUUAGCAAUAUAGAAUAAUUCAAUUGGUUGAUUUUUUAUUUGAAACUUCUUUGAGCUAUCUUAAUUAAAAAAGACAGUGAUAAAUAUCGUUAAGUAACUAUGAUGGGAGUUGAACCCAAUUUCUGAUUGGGUCAAAUUUGACCUAUGUAGACUAAUUCUAGCAUAAAAAUUUUAGGAAUAAUUUAAACUUGUAAAUGAGUAGAAAUAACAAUGAUAUAAAAAUGACAAAUAAUUUAAACUCACUUAAACUCAUAAAAUGUGAUGCUCCCAAUUAAUGCAAACAUUUACAUGGAUAUUGAGAUUGAUCAUAAAUGACUAGGUAUAAUUAUGACAUAAAAAUGACAAUUAAUUUCUUUGUCAUUCAACAGAUUAGAUUCCAUGAUACAAAUUUAUUGUAUUGUAUAAAAAUAUAGAACGUACGUACAUGCAUGCUCAUUUGUAAUCAAUUAAUAUACAUGUAGAUAAUGAUGAUUGCCUCUUCUAUAUCAAUAAAUGAUUUGAAUAAGUUGCUAAAAACUUAAUUAUGACUUCUAAUUUGUAGAUCUUAUCAAUGACAUUCAAUACUCUCUAAUAACUAGUAUUUGUGAUAACUAAAAAAAGGGUAUAUAGAGCACUAGACUAUAGAAAUAGACCUCUCAGCUUUAUUUUUCUAAUUAUUUUUGUUGAGACUUUUUUAAAUUUUACUUUUUUGAAUAGAGUGAUAAAUGAGUUAUGUAGUUGAUUAAAAUUGAGAUAACAGUGAACUCCGCACUAAUCUUAUCUUUAAUCUUGUAGUAAAUAAAACUAGAAAAAUUAAUAGAUAAUAGUUAAAAGUCAUUAACAGUAAACUUCUAUCUUAAUUAACUAAAAUAGUACCCAUAAGAAAAAUUCAAAUUUGCCGAAAAGGCAAUAGAAAAAUAUAAAGUUGAAGGCCCUAUUCGAAUUGGCUUAUAAUUGAGGGGUCAUAAUGCAUUUUACCAUUAUAACUCUUCAACAAUUACUAUCGAAAGUAUUUACAUGUACGUUUGAAGCAAAAUUGUAUUCUACUAAAAAAAAUAAUUUUUACACUCAUAGCCUUAAACAUUUAUGUAUUCUUAUGCUAUGUUUUACUAUUAUAUAUGUACAUGCAACUAUUACACAUUAGUGUCAUAUUGACUAGGUAUUUACAUAAAUAUAUAUACACCAUAUAUAAAAUACGAACUUUAGUUAUACAGCUAAAUGAAAAAGUUGGAUAAGCUAAACAAAUGACCUUCAUAGUUGUUGGUUCAUUCUUUCCUUGUGAGAUGUCACACAAAUGACAUUGGUUGUUGCUCGUGCGAAGGUGAAAAAACUAGCAAACAUAAUGUUUGAUGCAUUUAUAUAUACAAUAUGAUUUUCUAUCUUUCUCCCAAAUUUUAGGAGAUUAGAGAUUUUCCUAAAUUUUAGGGGAUAGUUAUGUUAUAUUAUAUAUACUAUUUGUGAUAUUGGAGGAUUAACCAAUGAUCAUAAAAUUUAUAUUUGUCAAAACGCCAAAUCAUAAUAAUCUUUACCUCAAUAAGUUGGGAUAUUAAAAAAAUCUAUAAAAACUAAUAUAAAGGUUAAUAAAAAUACUAUAAGUAGUGAAAAUGUUUAUUAAAAAUAAUUAUAUAAUUAACAAUACUUUUUUAUCUAUUAUUUAAAACAGUUACUUUGCCCUCCAUUCUUGAGAUUACAUAUACAUGCAGUAUUUAGAGGCCUCGUCCCUCUGCAGAAAUUUAUAAACACCAUCUCCACCACGUCAUCAGGUAACAAGGAUAAUUCUCCCUGUCUUUUCUCCUGCGAUAAUCCCUAUUCUUGUCCUAGCGAGAAUUCCUAUUCUCGCAAAAAAACUAUACAUUUUUUUAAUAAAUAUUUUAAUUAAUUUUUUAUUAAAAAAUUAAUUAUAUUAAAUUUAAUUUUAAUCUGUAUUGUUCUAAAUUUCAUGCAAUUUUUAAGUUUGUCUUUUAUUUAUUAUAAAAAUUAUUAAGUAUUAAUAUCAAAUUACUAAAAAUAUAUAAUAAUUAAAUAUUAUUUAAGUAAUAUAUAUAUUAUAAUAAUUUGAGAAUUAAAUAAUUAAGUAAAUAUUAGUAGGUAUUGGAAAUUUCGCGGGCAAUAAAUCGUUUUCGUGAGCAUAAUUACAAGCCCAUUUGAUCUUAAUGAACAAUAUAAUCAUUUUGUCAUGCGGCUAUGUAAGAAAUAUAAUUAUUUAAUGAAUCGAUGAGUUUUAAAACUUGGGAGUUUGAAUAUAUGGACAAUUUGAACAUCUCUAUGCUAGCAAAGCAAUAUAGGAAAUAUUAUAUAAUUAUUCCCUAACAAUUAUGAAAAGAAAUUAAUUACGUAUAAAACUUAUACUUCUUAUAAAAUUGAAAUUUUGUAAUGUAUUCAACAAUGUAAUUAUGAAUCAAACAUCUUGUCUCAACUAUAAAGUAAUAUAUUUUCACUAACAGAGAAUUGCACAAGUAAAAUUCGCAUAUCAUUGAGCCUAUAUGAAUUGUAAGGGUGAAAUGUAUUAAGAUCCCUAAAUAAUAAGGCAUUUAUAAAUAGGUUUCUUGUGACACCCCAAUAAUCCCACAUCGGAUGGAAAUGUAGUUGUCAUUGGGUUUAUAAGAGACUUAGACACUAGUAAUAAUAACUGGGCUUAAGCAUUUUGGGCCGGUUGUUGGGCCCAACGAGUUAUUGUUGCUAGUGGGCUGGGUCGUUAUAUUUGGUAUCAGAGCCGGUUCACCAGCUGGACAUGUGCGGCGAGUCUCGGCUGAGCCAAGGUCUGGAUGACGGGCUAGUGCACCCCCUGUUGGAGAGCCGAGUGCGCGACCUGAGGCUAGCGCAUCCCCUGAUCUGAGUGCACAGUUGACUGCCUGACUGAGGUGACGAGGCAGCAGGGAGAGUUGUUGCAGAGGUUGUGUGAGAGGAUAGCUCAGUCGCCGAGUUCAGCACCGAGUGUACCAGAGCAGACUGUUCCACUCCCGACUACUCCAGCGUCAGCUCCAGCCGCAGCUAUGCCCCCACCAGUGGAGAUUCCUACAGCGCCGGUUGCGCCUGCCAGGGGGCCUGUACCGUUGACUGAGGCCGAGCAGGAGCGGUGGACGGAGAGGUUAGCUCGUUUCCGCCGAUUUGGAUCAUUUGAUCCACCGAUCUUUGAUGGUAGAGGCACUGAGGCCUGGGUCGUUGAGGGAUGGGUCAGUGCUAUGGAGAGGUUAUUCGAGGAUCUGUACGUUCCAGAGGGGGAGCAGGUACCUCUGGGAGUACACUGUUUGUCUGGUGAUGCACGUGAUUGGUGGCGGAGAGUGAGGCGUGACCAGGGACUGGUGGCAGCAGAGCUGAGGUGGGAUGAGUUCUGUGGAAUGCUGUAUGGGAUGUAUUUUCCCAACAGCAUGAAACAGAAGAUUGAGGAUUUGAAGAGGAUCCAGCAGGGCGAGCGGACAGUUCAGGAGUAUGUUCGGGAGUUUACUAGACUCCUGAACUGUGUUCCGUUCGUGGCCAGAGACGAGGCGCAUAGGGUCUACUUGUUCGAGCAGGGUUUGAGACCCGACCUGUUCAGGUUGGUUAGGGCGCAGAGGUCGAGGACUUUGGACGCGUCUAUUGAGCAGGCACUAUGGGAGGAGAGAAGAGAGGUGUCACUGCGAGAGAGGGCUCAGGGGCCGGGACAGAGUCAGGACAGGAAGCGCCCAGCUCCAGACGACGGAGGCCAGUCGAGUAGCAGGCGUCCGCCGAGACCUCCACGAUCGCGUUCUCAGGGUCGUGGGUUCUCGGGACGUCAGCGAUCCAGAGACUCCCGUUAGAGAGGACAGCCUGAGAGGGCGCCGCAGUGUGUGAUCUGCGGAGGACCACACUGGCCCAGACAGUGUGAGCAGAGGGAGGGCCGGUGCUACGGAUGUGGUCAGCCGGGACACAUGAGGGCAGCUUGUCCCAGAGCAGCAUCUCCAGCACCAUCAUCUGCUUCAGCUCCACCAGCACCUCAGCAGACUUACAGAGCAGCACCGAGUUACCGCCAGGAGGAUAGGUCGUCCAUGCCGCGACAGGGUGAGCGUCGACAGCAGGCUCCGAGUGGUAGAGUCUAUGCAGCUCAGGUGGAGGACUCUACAGCAGCCGACCGAGUGGUGGCAGGUAUCACUUUGAUUUCUGGCAUUAGAGUUCGCACUCUUUUUGAUACUGGUGCAUCGCAUUCCUUUGUUAGCCGAGCAUUUGCAUUGUUGCAUGGUCUAGAGUUAGGGGCAUUGUCACAGGCACGAGAGGUGCAGAUCCCGGACCAUGUUUUACAGGUUGCGGAGUGUUGUUGGUCGUGUCCGGUGCAGUUGGACUCGUGGGUCAUGCCCGCAGACCUGUUGGUGUUAGGGCAGCUGCAGGACUUCGACGUCGUGCUCGGUAUGGAUUGGCUGGCGCGGUACUAUGCUACGAUCGACUGUGGAGCGAGGACGGUGACGUUCCGCGAGCCAGGCCAGGAGGAGUUUACUUUCAGAGGCUGCAGGAGCACGCUGUUUGCCACCUGGAUAUCUUCGGCGAGGGCUCGACAGAUGCUGAGCAGUGGGUGUAUCGCUUUCCUAGCGACAGUUGUGGAGGUACCUACGGCGGCGCCGAGACUCGAGGACAUCCCAGUAGUCCGCGAGUUUUCGGAUGUGUUUCCCCCUGAGUUGACGACAUUGCCGCCGGAGAGGGAGAUUGAGUUUGUGAUUGAUGUAGUUCCUGGAACUGCACCAAUCUCAAAGGUACCUUAUCGGAUGGCGCCGGCAGAGCUGAGAGAGCUAAAGGCACAGCUUCAGGAUUUGAUGGAUAAAGGGUUUGUGAGACCCAGUGUGUCGCCUUGGGGAGCGCCAGUGCUAUUUGUAAAGAAGAAGGAUGGUUCGCUCAGGUUAUGUGUGGAUUACCGGGAGCUGAAUAAAGUGACCAUCAAGAACAAGUAUCCUCUGCCGCGCAUUGAUGAUCUAUUCGAUCAGCUGCAAGGAUCUUGUGUCUUUUCGAAGAUUGAUCUCCAGUCAGGUUACCACCAGCUGAGGGUGAGGGCCGAGGAUGUUCCCAAGACGGCUUUUCGGACUCGGUACGGGCAUUAUGAGUUCACGGUGAUGCCUUUUGGAUUGACGAAUGCCCCUGCCGCAUUCAUGGAUUUGAUGAACAGAGUGUUCAAGCCGUUCUUGGAUAGGUUUGUGGUAGUCUUCAUCGACGAUAUCCUGAUUUACUCCCGGAGUGAUGCUGAGCAUGAGGAGCACUUGAGGAUUGUGCUACAGCUUCUGCGCGAGAAGAAGUUGUAUGCCAAGUUAAAGAAGUGCGAGUUCUGGCUACGGGAGGUUGCUUUCUUGGGCCACGUGAUUUCAGCUGAGGGCGUAGCAGUGGACCCGAAGAAGAUUGAGGCGAUUCGAGAUUGGCCUAGACCGACGACGGUUACUGAGGUACGGAGCUUCCUGGGACUGGCAGGAUAUUACCGUCGGUUUGUGGAAGGCUUUGCGAAGCUUUCCACACCCCUCACACGCUUGACGCGGAAGGGGAUUCGUUUUGUCUGGAGCGACGACUGUCAGAGGAGCUUUGACGAGUUGAGAUUGAGGUUGAUGUCGGCUCCUAUCCUUGCCCUUCCUGUUAUGGGCGAAGGAUUUGUGAUCUACAGUGAUGCAUCGCACAGUGGACUUGGUUGCGUGCUGAUGCAGCAUGGUAGGGUGAUUGCUUAUGCUUCAAGGCAGUUAAAGGAUUAUGAAAAGAAUUACCCUACACAUGAUUUGGAGCUUGCCGCGAUGGUUUUUGCUUUGAAGCUCUGGCGGCAUUACUUGUACGGCGAGCACUGCGAGGUAUUCACCGAUCAUCAAAGUCUCAAGUAUCUGUUCACACAGAGGGAGCUGAAUCUGAGACAGCGCCGGUGGUUGGAGUUACUGAAGGACUAUGACAUUAGUAUUCAGUAUCAUCCCGGCAGGGCGAAUGUGGUGGCAGAUGCGCUGAGCAGGAAGUCAGUGCAUAGCCUGAGUUUGAGGAUUACUGAGCAGAGACCCCUACUCGAGGAGCUGCAGCGGCUGGGACUCGAGAUAGUACCCCCUGGGUCUACGGCGAGGCUGACGUCUCUAGUACUACUGCCCACUCUGUUGGAUAGGAUCCGAGAAAAACAGAGUGGAGACCCGUUCUUGUUGAGGGUUAGAGAGCAGCUGGACAGGGGGCAGGCUGAGGGUUUUGCAGUGGACAGUUCGGGAGUACUACGGUACAGGGACCGACUGUGUGUGCCUAUGGAUCCGGAGAUUCGAGCAGAUAUUCUGAGAGAGGCUCAUUGUUCCCCUUAUACGGUGCACCCUGGGGGAACCAAGAUGUAUAAGGAUCUUAAGGCAUGACUCCGGUGGCCUGGAAUGAAGCGGGACAUUGGCAGAUUUGUGGCUCAGUGUUUGACUUGCCAACAGGUGAAGGCCGAGCAUCAGGUGCCUGCUGGCAAGCUUCAGUGUCUGCCAGUUCCCGAGUGGAAAUGGGAGUGCAUCAUGAUGGACUUCGUCGUUCGAUUGCCUAGAGCGCAGGGUGGCUCCGAUGCAAUUUGGGUGAUAGUGGACAGACUGACUAAGUCUGCUCACUUCCUACCGGUUCAGACUACCUGGUCCAGGGAGAGACUUGCGCAGCUAUACUUGGAUGAAAUCGUUAGGCUGCACGGCGUGCCAGUGUCGAUUGUAUCAGACAGAGACCCGAGGUUUGUAUCCCAGUUUUGGAGGAGUCUUCAGACAGCCUUGGAUACACAGCUACAUUUCAGCACAGCGUUCCACCCACAGACAGAUGGUCAGUCAGAGCGGACCAUUCAGACUCUAGAAGACAUGCUAAGGGCUUGUGUCCUGGACAUUGGAGGAGGGUGGUAUCAGCAUUUGAGACUAGUUGAGUUUGCGUACAACAAUAGCUAUCAAGCGAGCAUCCAGAUGGCUCCGUUUGAGGCGUUGUAUGGACGCAGAUGUCGAUCCCCCCUGUUUUGGAGUGAUGUGGGUGAGCGGGGGACACUUGGACCAGAGAUUCUACUUGAGGCUGAGGAAAAGGUGAGAGUCGUUCGACGACACCUUUUGACAGCACAGAGCCGACAGAGGAGCUACGCCGAUACCAGGAGACGAGACUUGGAGUUUCAGGUUGGAGAUCAUGUUUUUCUCAAAGUCUCGCCGUCCAGAGGGAUACGCCGAUUUGGAGUAUGUGGAAAGCUUAGUCCACGGUUUGUUGGCCCUUUCGAGGUAUUGGAGCGUAUCGGACCGGUUGCAUACAGGAUAGCUCUACCCCCGCGACUUGCUGGCAUCCACGAUGUUUUCCACGUCUCAGCAUUGAGGAGAUACGUUUUCGAUCCCUCUCAUGUGAUUGACUUUACUCCACUUGAGAUUGGCGAGGAUCUGAGAUACAAGGAGCGACCGUUGCGGAUUCUUGCUCGGGAGACGAAAGAAUUGCGCAACCGGGUCAUCCCGUAUGUGAAAGUGCAGUGGAGUAAUCAUGAUGAGCGGGAGGCAACUUGGGAGCCUGAGACGGUGAUGAGGGAGACUUAUCCCUACUUGUUCGAUGCCUGAGCAGAGGUACAUUUCAGUUUCGAGGACGAAAGUUUUUGUAGUGGGGGAGAAUGUAGUAUCCUAAUAUAUAUAUAUAUAUAUAUAUAUAUAUUAGUAUGCCACGUGCCUCCCUCUCCCCUUGCAUGCUGAUUUAACCGAGGAUGCCACCACCACCAUCUCCUUAAUUAACUUUCAUUGUCUCUCUCUCUCUCUCUAGCCGGUUGGGAGCAAGGAGGAGCUCGUGUGGAGCUUUCCGUCGUCGACGUCACGCCGCGGAGCCGUCCGAGCAUACGAGCAUCGCCGUAGUUUCACGAGGAGGCCGGGCGAGGAAGUGUUUCCGUCGUUCUCGACGCCGUGCCGGAAUUGGAGUCGCUGUUAGAGGUGGGUAGCUCUCUUUCCUCCAUGGAUUUCUUCUCUACUUCAAGCUCCAUUGAAUCCGAGCAUUGUGCUGUUUUCGCAGAAUUUCAGUGUCGACCGUCGGUGUUUCGGCUCGUUUUCCGCGCAGGAGCAUCGGAACGUGACGCGACUUGAUUCGUUGGAACCGAGACUUCGAGACGAAUCCAUAGGAUCCUUACUCGCCCGAUUUGGAGAAGGUUUGCUCUGUCGAAAUCCCUUUUUACUGAGUUGCUGUUUGCCGAGCAGACUCUGAAGUGCUGAUUGCUGAUUCCAGCAUUGACCCGCCGUGUUUUACCUAGUUCUCUGUGUAGGAAUGUCGAAACGCGACGAAAUUUGGCGUGCUAGAUUCGCGACUUCGAGACGAAGAUUCUGAGCCCAAGAUCGCGAUUUUUGGAGCAGGUUUGCCCUGUCGAACCCUAGUUUUACUAGGCUGCUGUUUGCCGAGCAGAUUUCAGAGAUGCUGUUUCGCAGGUUCCAGCGUCGACGUUUCGUAUUCUGGCCCGUUCUCUGCGUAGGAGCGUCGGAAUUCAGCGAAACCUGGGCCAUUGGAUUCGUGACUUCGAGACGAAGCUUCAGGACCCUUGUUUGCUGAAUUUGGAUAAGGUUAGCUUGGUCGGAUUUAACGCUUUCUUCGCUGCUAUUUUCUGGGCAGAUUUCGUGAUUUUGAGUGUAAUUGGGUUUACUUCUUCGCAGCAGGAGAACCGGGGACUUCGACGGACCAGCGAGGGAUCAUUUUGGAUCCGGGCCACUUUCUUCGCUGCCAGGAGUUGCUUGAGAGGUGGGUUACAUCGGUUUUGACUCCUAAGUUCAUAUUCGUCGGCAUGUAUAAUUUUCGACCUUUGGAUACUCUAUUCUAGCUCGAAUUCAUGGAUUAUAUUGUAGAUUGCAAAUCUGAAUUUGGAGCAUGUGGUAAUAAAUUAAGUAGGUUAUACAUGUUGGACUUGGAAAUUGAAUUAGGAGAAAACCUGCGAUUUGGACCUGUCACUUGUUUAAACUGCCUGAUUUAGCUCUAGGAGCCGUUAUUAAAUUGUACUGUCGCAGUAUCUUCGAGACGAGUACUCCAGGUAGUUUAGAUUACAUUUACGCUCGUGCUGGUGCGCCGAGUGGAUUUUUACAGGAUCGUUCAGGUUGUUCCGGACUGGUGGGUGCCGUCAGAGUUGACGGUGGACCCGUAUCGCCUUUUUGGCGUCAGAUUGUGCCGAGGGCACAUUACCUGUUGGUGGUUAGACCAGUUUGAGUCGGUUACUUGACUUUGGCUUUUCAGAGCCUGUUUGAGCUCGACAGAGAUACGCUGCAUACUCGGUUGGGUAGCGCCCACGAGUGCCACUCCGGAGUCAGGCUUUGUGCUUUCGCGUUGGUGUCGCUCAUGCCAGUUGGACUUGCUCUCCACGGACCAGUUAGUGUGGAUAGAGCCCGAUAGUCGCAACGGGGCAGGGACGGGUGUAUUCACAGUCCCG
Molecule: long non-coding RNA, 31088 nt
Filed under: Ananas comosus (pineapple)
Lineage: Eukaryota; Viridiplantae; Streptophyta; Magnoliopsida; Poales; Bromeliaceae
Description: long non-coding RNA (ACOM_LNC017400)
Source: RNAcentral